UGGCUCCUAUGUGCUGGUCCUCCUGGUGU
RNAcentral lists this non-coding RNA (29 nucleotides) under Mus musculus (house mouse). The record is from RNAcentral. Lineage: Eukaryota; Metazoa; Chordata; Mammalia; Rodentia; Muridae.